This 402-nucleotide ribosomal RNA is filed under the name uncultured bacterium. RNAcentral describes it as "bacterial SSU rRNA". It matches the Rfam family "Bacterial small subunit ribosomal RNA", at positions 355 to 774 of the family's 1533-position model. The record is from RNAcentral.
UGGGGAAUCUUGCACAAUGGGGGCAACCCUGAUGCAGCGACGCCGCGUGAGCGAUGAAGCCCUUCGGGGCGUAAAGCUCUUUCGACCGGAACGAUAAUGACGGUACCGGGAGAAGAAGCUGCGGCUAACUACGUGCCAGCAGCCGCGGUAAUACGUAGGCAGCAAGCGUUGUUCGGAGUUACUGGGCGUAAAGAGUGCGUAGGCGGUUUUCUAAGUUCGGCGUGAAAUCUCCCGGCUUAACUGGGAGGGUGCGCCGAAGACUGGGAAGCUGGAGUGUGGGAAAGGCAGGCGGAAUUCCAGGUGUAGCGGUGAAAUGCGUAGAUAUCAGGAGGAACACCGGCGGUGUAGACGGCUUGCUAGACCAUAACUGACGCUGAGGCACGAAAGCGUGGGUAGCAAACA